AACGAACGCUGGCGGCAUGCCUAACACAUGCCAGUCGAACGAGACCUUCGGGCCUAGUGGCGCACGGGUGCGUAACGCGUGGGAACCUGCCCUUAGGUUCGGAAUAACUCCCCGAAAGGGGUGCUAAUACCGGAUAAUGUCUUCGGACCAAAGAUUUAUCGCCUUUGGAUGGGCCCGCGUUGGAUUAGCUAGUUGGUAGGGUAAAAGCCUACCAAGGCGACGAUCCAUAGCUGGUCUGAGAGGAUGAUCAGCCACACUGGGACUGAGACACGGCCCAGACUCCUACGGGAGGCAGCAGUGGGGAAUAUUGGACAAUGGGCGAAAGCCUGAUCCAGCAAUGCCGCGUGAGUGAUGAAGGCCUUAGGGUUGUAAAGCUCUUUUACCCGGGAUGAUAAUGACAGUACCGGGAGAAUAAGCACCGGCUAACUCCGUG
RNAcentral lists this ribosomal RNA (433 nucleotides) under uncultured bacterium. RNAcentral describes it as "partial 16S ribosomal RNA". It matches the Rfam family "Bacterial small subunit ribosomal RNA", at positions 29 to 507 of the family's 1533-position model. The record is from RNAcentral.